Molecule: unclassified non-coding RNA, 583 nt
Filed under: Hevea brasiliensis (rubber tree)
Lineage: Eukaryota; Viridiplantae; Streptophyta; Magnoliopsida; Malpighiales; Euphorbiaceae
Source: RNAcentral
GGUAUUUUUGAGUGCUGGCUUCACCCUGCACAAUAUCGAACACGUCUGUGCAAAGAUGAGACUAGUUGUGCAAGAAGGGUUUGUUUUUUUGCUCACAAGCCUGAAGAGCUUCGGCCCUUGUAUGCCUCAACGGGUUCGGCUGUGCCUUCACCUAGAUCCUUCUCAGCCAAUGUUUCAGCGCGGGACAUAGGUUCUAUCAGUCCACUUGCUCUUGGUUCUCCAUCUAUCUUGAUACCAGCUACUUCAACACCACCGAUGACUCCCUCUGGGUCCUCAUCUCCUAUGGGUGGAUGGCCAAACCAGUCUAAUAUUAUACCUCCUACCUUGCAGCUUCCUGGUAGCAGGUUGAAAUCUGCACUGAGUGCUAGAGAUCUGGAUUUAGACAUGGAGUUGCUUGGGCUUGAUAGUCACCAUCGCUGGCAACAACAAUUGAUGGAUGAGAUAUCUGGUCUCUCCUCACCCUCCAGUUGGAAUAAUGGUUUGUCUACUGGUUCAGCUUUUGCCGUCUCUGGUGAUCGAACUAUAGAGUUGAAUAGGCUUGGACGAGUGAAGCCAACUAACCUUGAAGAUAUUUUUGGAUCUC